UAACAGGAUUAGAUACCCUGGUAGUCCACGCCGUAAACGGUGGGUACUAGGUGUGGGUUUCCUUCCUUGGGAUCCGUGCCGUAGCUAACGCAUUAAGUACCCCGCCUGGGGAGUACGGCCGCAAGGCUAAAACUCAAAGGAAUUGACGGGGGCCCGCACAAGCGGCGGAGCAUGUGGAUUAAUUCGAUGCAACGCGAAGAACCUUACCUGGGUUUGACAUGCACAGGACGCCGGUAGAGAUAUCGGUUCCCUUGUGGCCUGUGUGCAGGUGGUGCAUGGCUGUCGCCAGCUCGUGUCGUGAGAUGUUGGGUUAAGUCCCGCAACGAGCGCAACCCUUGUCUCAUGUUGCCAGCGCGUUAUGGCGGGGACUCGUGAGAGACUGCCGGGGUCAACUCGGAGGAAGGUGGGGAUGACGUCAAGUCAUCAUGCCCCUUAUGUCCAGGGCUUCACACAUGCUACAAUGGCCGGUACAAAGGGCUGCGAUGCCGUGAGGCUUAGCGAAUCCUUUAAAGCCGGUCUCAGUUCGGAUCGGGGUCUGCAACUCGACCCCGUGAAGUCGGAGUCGCUAGUAAUCGCAGAUCAGCAACGCUGCGGUGAAUACGUUCCCGGGCCUUGUACACACCGCCCGUCACGUCAUGAAAGUCGGUAACACCCGAAGCCAGUGGCCUAACCCUUGUGGGGGGAGCUGUCGAAGGUGGGAUCGGCGAUUGGGACGAAGUCGUAACAAGGUAACCGUA
Molecule: ribosomal RNA, 737 nt
Filed under: uncultured endophytic bacterium
Lineage: Bacteria
Description: bacterial SSU rRNA
Rfam family: Bacterial small subunit ribosomal RNA
Source: RNAcentral